This 83-nucleotide small RNA is filed under the name Marmota monax (woodchuck). Lineage: Eukaryota; Metazoa; Chordata; Mammalia; Rodentia; Sciuridae. The record is from RNAcentral.
GCCAGGCGUGGUGGUGCACACCUAUAAUCCCAGCAGCUCUGGAGGCUGAGGCAGGAGGAUCGAAAGUUCAAAGCCAGCCUCAG